AGAGUUUGAUCAUGGCUCAGGAUGAACGCUAGCUACAGGCUUAACACAUGCAAGUCAGGGGCAUCAGUUUGGUUUGCUUGCAAACCAAAGGCUGGCGACCGGCGCACGGGUGAGUAACACGUAGUCCAACCUGCCUCAUACUCGGGGAUAGCCUUUCGAAAGAAAGAUUAAUAUCCGAUAGCAUAUAUUUCCCGACAUGGGUUUUAUAUUAAAGAAAUUCGGUAUGAGAUGGGGAUGCGUUCCAUUAGUUUGUUGGCGGGGUAACGGCCCACCAAGACUACGAUGGAUAGGGGUUCUGAGAGGAAGGUCCCCCACAUUGGAACUGAGACACGGUCCAAACUCCUACGGGAGGCAGCA
Molecule: ribosomal RNA, 357 nt
Filed under: uncultured bacterium
Lineage: Bacteria
Description: bacterial SSU rRNA
Rfam family: Bacterial small subunit ribosomal RNA
Source: RNAcentral